Molecule: non-coding RNA, 1841 nt
Organism: Podarcis lilfordi (Lilford's wall lizard)
Lineage: Eukaryota; Metazoa; Chordata; Lepidosauria; Squamata; Lacertidae
Source: the annotation of a GenBank genome assembly
AAGGUUUUUAAAAAAUCAGCAAACAAUUAAUACAAUUCUGUACAAACUCAUAGUGUGGCAACAUUUCAAGGAUGGCCGGGGAGCACUGCUGCUGUUGCUGGCAUCCAUCUGUCUUGAGAGACAAUGGAGGAUGCCACCGGGGGUGAAGUCAAACUGCUGCGUUAGCAACACCCAAGUGACCUCCCUGGGGCACAAGCCUAGGCAGCGUGUAUGGAAGUCCUGGGCUGCCCAGGACCUUGUGGAUACCAAGGAGUGAACCUGGGGCUUGAAGUUAGUAACCCAUAGGUUAAUUCUGUUGACUGUUAACCAACAAAGAGGUGGUCAUGGUGGUGUUACCUAGCAACCAGUCAGAAUGGCAUCAUCUUUGCCAUUCUGAUCCAUGCUCUGAUUGGCUGUGCAGUUCUGAGAGAGUUUUCCCCUGUAUGUUUCAUUGUUGGAUAUCCUCCUGCAAUGAACUAGGUCUGAACAAUGUGAAAAAAGGGGGAGGGGGAGAACACACCUCUCUGUUUAUUUCUCCUCUUUCCCCCCAGUUAUUUUGUUCACUUUACCCUGCAAGGUAUUAUUGCUUUCUUUUUCUUUCUGUGUUAUUUAAGAGAACCUUCUAACACUGGGGGACUUCUGCAAACAAAGGAAUAUUCUCCUUUACUGAGCUGGGCAGAAAAGCAGCUGUUGCCACCACAUCUAUCUGACUCUGAUGUGAUAGCACAAGCAUUUGUGACGACAUGUCUGCCCAAUGGCAAUAGCAUGGCAUUAACUGUUGUGCUGUCCACUUCCAGCUUGUGGCUGUAAGGUGAUGGACACACCUUGGAAAACAGCCACCGACAUUACAUCCUGGUCCUUCAGGCCCUCUCCUCUGUGCAUCAGCAUAAUGACUGACGCCUUGCCUCUCCUUAAGUGCUCUGCCUGUUUCCUCGUUCCCAGCAACCAGAGAACCCUGAUCUCCGAAUGUCACGAGCGUGUUGCUAUUUGACUACCAGGCAGACAACUUAAUUGAAUAAUCACUAAUAUGAAUAGAACCAGAGCACUUCCGAUGUACAUCUCAGAAGCAAGCAAUCAGUUUAAGCUAAAGGACUAAUGAAGACCUUGGGGAGAAGGAAAUAUAAUACUGGGGUUGAGAGAGAAUUAAUCUUCAGACUCAGGUAGCUUGCUGCGUAUUACUGCAGGCAGUAGGGACAAGUCAGGGGGGUGUCACAUUCUGUGAAGAGAUAAUUGGAAACCAUUUUUUUCCCUCAAAGAGAGUUUCAGGGAAAUAAAUUGGUGGUAUUGAAAUGCACUUGAGCUGUUAAAUGGAGGAGGUCAUCUGAAGGGCAAGCAAUGGCAUCGAUGGGGUAAUGGAGACACUGAGCUUGAGUAAUGCAGAUUGGGUUGGACAUAAUGAAGCAAUCUGUCAACCUCUUUCCUUUCUCCUGACAACCCUACCACCACUACUUCUUGCAUUAACUAGCAUUAAACAUGCAGGUUAUAUGUAGCUGAAUUUCCCACAGAUGGGAGUUGGAGUCCAACAAAAUCUGAAGGGCGCCGCUUUGGAAAAUCCAGUGUAGAGACUGAGUCAGUCUUGUUGCAGUCAGGCCCACUUCACAGCAAACAUGCACUGAAUUGGGUUGCAUGGUCCACCAAAAUCAGUGCAAUUGAAUUCUGUGUUGGAUUUUGGUCCUGAAGUUCUCCACCCCUCCUUCUGUUCCUUGGUGCAGGAUACAAGAUACAAAUGGAGAAAGAGUGCUACAAAAAGGUGUCUGCUUCUUGAACUAAACAAAGCUAAAAUAACAGAGCAAAGAUUUCCUGUUUGGAUGGUCUUCCUUUCUUCUUCAUGCAUAAUGUCCAAUAAUUUUAAAAAGGGAAAA